AUUAAACUGAAGAGUUUGAUCAUGGCUCAGAUUGAACGCUGGCGGCAGGCUUAACACAUGCAAGUCGAGCGGAGUGAUGGUGCUUGCACCAUCACUUAGCGGCGAACGGGUGAGUAAUGCCUAGGAAUCUGCCCAUUAGCGGGGGACAACGUGUGGAAACGCACGCUAAUACCGCAUACGCCCUACGGGGGAAAGCAGGGGACUCUUUGAGCCUUGCACUAAUGGAUGAGCCUAGGUCAGAUUAGCUAGUUGGUGGGGUAAAGGCCUACCAAGGCGACGAUCUGUAGCGGGUCUGAGAGGAUGAUCCGCCACACUGGAACUGAGACACGGUCCAGACUCCUACGGGAGGCAGCAGUGGGGAAUAUUGGACAAUGGGCGCAAGCCUGAUCCAGCCAUGCCGCGUGUGUGAAGAAGGCCUUUUGGUUGUAAAGCACUUUAAGCGGGGAGGAGGCUAACCUGGUUAAUACCUGGGAUUAGUGGACGUUACCCGCAGAAUAAGCACCGGCUAACUCUGUGCCAGCAGCCGCGGUAAUACAGAGGGUGCGAGCGUUAAUCGGAAUUACUGGGCGUAAAGCGCGCGUAGGCGGUUUGUUAAGUCGGAUGUGAAAUCCCCGGGCUCAACCUGGGAAUUGCAUUCGAUACUGGCAAGCUAGAGUAUGGGAGAGGAAGGUAGAAUUCCAGGUGUAGCGGUGAAAUGCGUAGAGAUCUGGAGGAAUACCGAUGGCGAAGGCAGCCUUCUGGCCUAAUACUGACGCUGAGGUGCGAAAGCAUGGGGAGCAAACAGGAUUAGAUACCCUGGUAGUCCAUGCCGUAAACGAUGUCAACUAGCCGUUGGGGGAUUUGAUCCUUUAGUGGCGCAGCUAACGCGAUAAGUUGACCGCCUGGGGAGUACGGUCGCAAGACUAAAACUCAAAUGAAUUGACGGGGGCCCGCACAAGCGGUGGAGCAUGUGGUUUAAUUCGAUGCAACGCGAAGAACCUUACCUGGUCUUGACAUAGUGAGAAUCUUUCAGAGAUGAGAGAGUGCCUUCGGGAAUUCACAUACAGGUGCUGCAUGGCUGUCGUCAGCUCGUGUCGUGAGAUGUUGGGUUAAGUCCCGCAACGAGCGCAACCCUUUUCCUUAUUUGCCAGCACUU
RNAcentral lists this ribosomal RNA (1135 nucleotides) under Alkanindiges illinoisensis. RNAcentral describes it as "bacterial SSU rRNA". It matches the Rfam family "Bacterial small subunit ribosomal RNA", at positions 1 to 1126 of the family's 1533-position model. The record is from RNAcentral. Lineage: Bacteria; Pseudomonadati; Pseudomonadota; Gammaproteobacteria; Moraxellales; Moraxellaceae.